UCCUGUCUGCCGCUGCUUCCCACAACGUGCUCACUUACACGAGUUAACUUCCUACUUCCCAUGAAUACUGAAUACACUUGUAAUGCAGAAACAGAAAGAUAACGGAACUCAGUUGCUAUUUUAGAAUACGCCUCGAUUAAUUUAGGCCCCAAACACGGUCUUAAAACUAAAAUAUUUCUCUAUAAAAACACCUAUCAGAUGUCGGCGCAGCAUGCCCAGGCAUGCAGCUGUGCGCGUAUACAAACACACGUAGCCUACAGUAGGCUAUAGAGAUGCAUCGUGAACAGAGAUGUCUUCUGGACUGCCAGAGAGUGAGAUUGGACAAUGCAGCAAUUUCAUAUCCACAUUAUGCAAUGAUUGGCUUCAGUAGAACAAGUUAAUACGGUAUCAGUAGCCAAACAAUACGACCGCGAGUCUCCAUACUGCAACAAGUGCGCACGCAGUUCAAUUAGCAGCCGGAAGCGGGUUGACGCACGAGCCCAUUAGUGGUUAUCAGGUGCUGUUGACGUUCAGCUGUUACGUCGUUGCGAACUUGGACUUGCUUGCCAAGUUACAGGUAAAGUCAAAGGUAACAGCAGCUUCACCACACAUGUACAACCAUUAAAUACGUAAAAUUAAAUUAAACUACUAUGGUUAAUUAAAAAGCCCUAGUUGUAGUUUUGCAGUGGUAAAUUUCAAAUUGCCUAUCAGGUUAUUAAUACUGAUGUAUUAUCCUUUGGGGCCAGCUGUGGAUGCAUUAUGUGUAUUAAUUUUAUUUAUGUGUGUUAAACUAAUGUUUAUAAUUAUGAUAUGCGUACCGUGCAUAAAUAUGACUGUUUCCAUUUUUGAUGUUCUGUUUCUUCUGACAUCUGUUCUUAUGUUGUUAAGAUGGUGUAAUAUUGUAAAUAUUUUUGCCUGUGAGUCCAUGUCAUGCAUGAUCCAGCCAUACCACUUCUUACCUUUAGUGUGGACAUACUCUCCCUAAAGUGUACACUAUCCCUAACCUACUCCAGCCUUCCUGCCUGAGCUGUGGAAACAUUCUCCCUAAAGUGCACACUAUCCCUAACCUACUCCAGCCUUCCUGCCUUAAGGAUAGAAACAUUCUCCCUAAAGUGCACACUAUCAAAGCAUUGCAGUUGUCAGCCAGUAAGCACUCAAAAUGAAAACCUACUGCCCUACACAGGCAAGCAAAGAACAGCAAUAUCAUAACACAUGUUAACUUCCACAAAAGAACAAAUUCUAAACAAGAACACAAAAGCAUUUUUCAUUCUGUAGGUUUAUUGUCACUCAUUACAGAACUUGUUCAGGUUUUUCCUCCUAACAGUUUAAACUAUCAUAGGCUGCUCCAGAUUUAUGUUACUGUGUUCCAUCUGUAAAUAAAUAAAAUAA
Long non-coding RNA from Anguilla rostrata (American eel), 1368 nucleotides. RefSeq lists it as uncharacterized. Lineage: Eukaryota; Metazoa; Chordata; Actinopteri; Anguilliformes; Anguillidae. The transcript is spliced from 2 exons. The record is from RefSeq and is a predicted model, not a curated record.